RNAcentral lists this ribosomal RNA (324 nucleotides) under uncultured bacterium. RNAcentral's name for it is "bacterial SSU rRNA". It matches the Rfam family "Bacterial small subunit ribosomal RNA", at positions 28 to 334 of the family's 1533-position model. The record is from RNAcentral.
GAUGAACGCUGGCGGCGUGCUUAACACAUGCAAGUCGAACGAAGCACCUUGAUUUGAUUCUUCGGAUGAAGAUUUUGGUGACUGAGUGGCGGACGGGUGAGUAACGCGUGGGUAACCUGCCUCAUACAGGGGGAUAACAGUUAGAAAUGACUGCUAAUACCGCAUGAGACCACAGCACCGCAUGGUGCAGGGGUAAAAACUCCGGUGGUAUAAGAUGGACCCGCGUUGGAUUAGCUAGUUGGUGGGGUAACGGCCCACCAAGGCGACGAUCGGUAGCCGGACUGAGAGGUUGAACGGCCACAUUGGGACUGAGACACGGCCCAG